GGUCACAUCAUGUUGAAACACCGAUUCCCGUAGGAUCACCGACGUUAAGCAACGUCAAGCUUGGUCAGUACCUAGAUGGGUGAGCGCUUGAAAAUACCAGGUGCUGUAAG
Molecule: non-coding RNA, 110 nt
Organism: Acanthosepion pharaonis
Lineage: Eukaryota; Metazoa; Mollusca; Cephalopoda; Sepiida; Sepiidae
Source: the annotation of a GenBank genome assembly